Molecule: long non-coding RNA, 657 nt
Organism: Sycon ciliatum
Lineage: Eukaryota; Metazoa; Porifera; Calcarea; Leucosolenida; Sycettidae
Exons: 3
Source: RefSeq, a predicted model, not a curated record
GCAAAACAUUCUUUGAAAGGCUAGAACUAAAGUUACUUGUGAAAGAAGAACCGUGGAGUUGUAUUUCUUUCUCGAUUCUCUCCCGGAACAUCCGUCCAUUCGUCUCGAAGGACAAUAGUUGUGCUGUUUGGACGACUGAUAUGGCGUCGAUUCAAAUACUCGUCGCGUUGGGCAUGCUGGCCCUAGCCUGCGGAUCGCCGCUCGAGCCAAAGGUCGAUACAGUGUGGCUGCUGAGCGUCAACUACACUAGCUAUGUGUAUUCACCGAUCAAGGACCGCCUGCUGGCGUUGCAUCCGGGUGGUCUUGCCGUGGAUGAGCUGGACCUAGCGACACAGACAGUGGCGAAGACCUACUCCUUGCCCAUUCCUGGUUACCGGAUUGGCGUUGGGGAUACGGGUCGUUACGUGUCCGUGGUUCACAACUCGUACAUCACGUUUAUUGAUGUUGUCACGGAAACAUUCCAGACGGAGAACUUCCCCUAUGCUGAUGUGCCGGUCAACGGACUAGUGGUGGAUUUGUCGGAGGAACACGAGACGUGCGGUUGGAUCCAUCUCUACCAGAGUGGCCAGUACAUAAGCGAGAUCAUCUGUGUGAACCCGGUUAACGGGAACGCCACCAAGUGUUAUGAUCAAGGUGAGAGUUGGGCAGUGCUGACUG